GACGAACGCUGGCGGCGUGCCUAACACAUGCAAGUCGAACGGGGUGAUUUCCUUCGGGGAAUCACUUAGUGGCGAACGGGUGAGUAACGCGUGAGAAACCUGCCUUUCAGUGGGGGACAACAGUUGGAAACGACUGCUAAUACCGCAUAACGUAUAUUGGGGGCAUCCCUGAUAUACCAAAGCUUUAUGUGCUGAAAGAUGGUCUCGCGUCUGAUUAGCUAGAUGGCGGGUAACGGCCCACCAUGGCGACGAUCAGUAGCCGGUCUGAGAGGAUGAACGGCCACAUUGGGACUGAGAUACGGCCCAGACUCCUACGGGAGGCAGCAGUGGGGAAUAUUGGGCAAUGGGGGGAAACCCUGACCCAGCAACGCCGCGUGAGGGAAGACGGUUUUCGGAUUGUAAACUUCUUUUAUAAGGGACGAAAUUGACGGUACCUUAUGAAUAAGCUCCGGCUAACUACGUG
This 463-nucleotide ribosomal RNA is filed under the name uncultured bacterium. RNAcentral describes it as "bacterial SSU rRNA". It matches the Rfam family "Bacterial small subunit ribosomal RNA", at positions 28 to 507 of the family's 1533-position model. The record is from RNAcentral.